UCGUAGGUGAACUGCGAGGAUCAUUA
Molecule: ribosomal RNA, 26 nt
Filed under: Mycosphaerella asteroma
Lineage: Eukaryota; Fungi; Ascomycota; Dothideomycetes; Mycosphaerellales; Mycosphaerellaceae
Description: partial 18S ribosomal RNA
Source: RNAcentral